RNAcentral lists this non-coding RNA (827 nucleotides) under Absidia glauca. RNAcentral's name for it is "Eukaryotic small subunit ribosomal RNA". It matches the Rfam family "Eukaryotic small subunit ribosomal RNA", at positions 189 to 1008 of the family's 1831-position model. The record is from Rfam by way of RNAcentral. Lineage: Eukaryota; Fungi; Mucoromycota; Mucoromycetes; Mucorales; Cunninghamellaceae.
ACUUCGGGAGGGCUGCACUUAUUAGAUCAAAACCAUCCUGGGUAAAACCAGUUCUAUGGUGAUUCAUAAUAAUUAAGCUGAUCGCAUGGCCUUGCGCCGGCGACGGUACAUUCGAUUUUCUGCCCUAUCAGGCUGUUGAUUGUAAGGUAGUGGCUUACAAUGGCGACCACGGGUAACGGGGAAUUAGGGUUCGAUUCCGGAGAGGGAGCCUGAGAAACGGCUACCACAUCCAAGGAAGGCAGCAGGCGCGCAAAUUACCCAAUCCCAACUCGGGGAGGUAGUGACAAUAAAUAACAAUGCAGGGCCUUCUGGCCUUGCAAUUGGAAUGAGUACAAUUUAAAUCCCUUAACGAGGAUCAAUUGGAGGGCAAGUCUGGUGCCAGCAGCCGCGGUAAUUCCAGCUCCAAAAGCGUAUAUUAAAGUUGUUGCAGUUAAAACGUCCGUAGUCGAAUUUACGCCUGGUGGCUCGGCCGCUGGUCCUUCAUUGGGCCAGAUUGGCUGUAGUCCCGGCGAUAAAGCUUGGAUCAGGUAGGGUUGGUUUCGGCCGGCUCUGCUCUAUGCCCAAGCGUAUUACCAUGAGCAAAUCAGAAUGCUCAAAGUAGGCCUAAGCGCCUGAAUGUGUUAGCAUGGAAUAAUGAAAUAGGACUCGAGUCUUGUUUUGUUGGUUUACUUGACAUUGAGAAAUGAUGAAUAGGAACGGUUGGGGGCAUUUGUAUUUGGCCGCUAGAGGUGAAAUUCUUGGAUUGGCCGAAGACAAACUACUGCGAAAGCAUUUGACCCAGGACGUUUUCAUUGAUCAGGGACUAAAGUUGAGGGAUCGAAGACGAU